ACAGCCAUCCAUCUACAGAAACUCAGCGACCGUUCAACACAUGGCUGGACUCUAGCAAGCUGAACGAGAAGGGCGUGACUCAGUGUUCGAGCUUCAAUGAAGGCACCUACAAGUGUCUACUGCCUCUGAUGAAGGGGACCAAUAUCGCUUUCUCCAAGACGGAAUCGUAGAGGGUUAGGAGGCGCGCGCGUGGCGACGGCGCAGCGAGCGAGCGCGCGCGAAUACAAGAGGUACAUAUCGGCGCUGGAUGGACCGGGGUGCGGGGCUGGCUGAGUGUGUGCAGUGGUCGUGUUUGUGUGGAGUAUGCACCAGCUAACGGCCACCUCAAUCUGUCAAUAACGUCAGUGAGCUGCGUGGGGGCAGCAGCACUGCCACGUGUCCCCCCCCUACCCUAGAUUUUUUUUCGCCAACAGCUGUAAGUCGUGCUGCUGCUGCUGCUGCUUAUGCAAGUCCAGAGCAGUUCAAAUACUAGACCCGAGUAGCCGAAUCUCUUAUUGAUUUGCUAGUGUCACCUCAACGAAACUUUUAUUCGUGCUAACAUAUAUAUGUGUAUAUAUAUAUGCAUUCACAUGCGUAAAUCAGGAUUUCACGCAGCCGUCACGUUGUGAUAAACUUGAUUCCAAGUGCAGAUGUAGAAAGUUAGCAUUUUGUAGCGAGGAGCCGAGGACAGAGGAUAGAGAGAGAGUUCCAUGCUGGGGUGGAUGUCACUCUGUUCACGUAUAACAUCAAUAGGAAGUGAAAAUGUUUGUUUAUGGAGAUCUGCAUCAUUUUGAGGUUUAAUAUAAUGUGUUUCAUAUUGUAUUUCUAUAUUCUUGAAGUGAUACAGAGUUGCUUAGUGGCGCUGUAAGCAAUGCAGAGCUGAUUAUAUAUAUCAAGAGCUAAUAAUACAUAUAUUACAAUACAAUUACAAUACAACAAUAAGGUUAAUACAAUAAGGUAUUAUUAGCUCUUGAUAUACAUGUGUAUAAUAGGUAUAAGGUUGUUGCAGGGUUAGCAUUUCACAGUUAUGAUCAGGAGUAAAUAAUAUGCCUAUUAUUGACUCCUGAUGUUAUAUAUAUAUAUAUAUAUGACAUUACACUAAGGUAGAUCCCCGUGAUUUCGUGUUAGUGCACAUGUUUCUGUCUCGGACAACUGCUUGUGUAGGGUAAAUAUAGCCAGCAGUUAUUAUUGCGAUUAGCUGAGAAAAGUAGUCGCUGGGGCAGUAUGAUAGCACCUGAUAGUCUGACCUUUACUUACAAAGUGUGGCGACCGAAUUUCCCUGCGUAAACAAUGUAAGCUUGUGAACUGUCUGAACGUGGCUGCUGCUAUACGGAUAGUAGCAGUGAGUCACCGCACGUCUUCCGGGACUCUUCCCUGAGCCGCCGCCGCCGCCACUUCCGACCAACAUUAUCCAACCUGGACUUUUUCUCCGCGGAAAACACGCAUCGAGUUAUUUUAGGAGGACUGCGGUUUCCUGCGCCGCUCGUUUAUUGCAGUGUUGUCGUACUUCUGUAUAAUAUACUCCCGUGCUGGUGUGUGUGUGCGUGCGUGCGUGCGUGCGUCCGUGCGUGUGUGUGUGGGCGGGGAACACCUCGAUGUCAGUGCAUGCACAUCCGUGUUAUUCUCCAGCUGCAGAAGAACUAGUGCACAGCUGUCACGAAAAAGCGCGAUUGGCGCGUAGCAAGGCAAUCGUAUUGCAUGGAAUUCCCCAUCGCCAGCGAUGGCUGGAUGGCCAGGUACGCACGCGGCUAGUGUGUACGCUGUACGGAUUAUAUUUUUAUAAUGUUUCUCGCAGUGAACUCUACUCCCUGCCUUUUUCCCGCCGUGUAUAUUGAGACUAAAUGCUAUUAUUAAAUGGCAGGGAAUAAACUAAAAGCGUAGUGAACAAAAACGGUGGUAGAAGCCAGCGUGCGGGAGGCGGCUGUAGAGGGAUGGUGUGUGGUAGAAGCCAGCGUGCGUGCGGGAGGCGGCUGUAGAGGGAUGGUGUGUGGUAGAAGCCAGCGUGCGUGCGGGAGGCGGUUGACAGCUUCAUUGUUUACGAGCGGAUUUUCUUACACAGAGCUUUAACGCAUGCAUCGCAGAACCCCGAUGAGUGAGGCUUAUGCUAUAUACGUGUCAGCACAGUAUAUUGUACCUGUACAAAAAUGAAUAAAUCGAAUGUGUAUUUGAUUAUAAGCACG
Molecule: long non-coding RNA, 2159 nt
Filed under: Priapulus caudatus
Lineage: Eukaryota; Metazoa; Priapulida; Priapulimorpha; Priapulimorphida; Priapulidae
Description: uncharacterized LOC106805862
Source: RNAcentral